RNAcentral lists this ribosomal RNA (473 nucleotides) under uncultured bacterium. RNAcentral's name for it is "bacterial SSU rRNA". It matches the Rfam family "Bacterial small subunit ribosomal RNA", at positions 355 to 825 of the family's 1533-position model. The record is from RNAcentral.
UGGGGAAUAUUGCGCAAUGGGCGAAAGCCUGACGCAGCAACGCCGCGUGAGUGAUGAAGGCCUUCGGGUCGUAAAGCUCUGUCGGAGGGAACGAAUGCUCUUGAGGUUAACAGCCUCGGGAGGUGACGGUACCCUCAAAGGAAGCACCGGCUAACUCUGUGCCAGCAGCCGCGGUAAUACAGAGGGUGCAAGCGUUGUUCGGAAUCAUUGGGCGUAAAGGGCGUGUAGGCGGUAUGUUAAGUCAUGUGUGAAAUCCCUCGGCUCAACCGGGGAACGACGCAUGAAACUAGCAAGCUAGAGUACCAAAGAGGGUGGUGGAAUUCCCGGUGUAGCGGUGAAAUACGUAGAUAUCGGGAGGAACACCUGUGGCGAAGGCGGCCACCUGGUUGGAUACUGACGCUGAGACGCGAAAGCGUGGGGAGCAAACAGGAUUAGAUACCCCCGUAGUCCCUGAGCGGGCUGGCAAGGCGCAU